GGGUUGUGAGGUUAAGCGACUAAGCGUACACGGUGGAUGCCCUGGCAGUCAGAGGCGAUGAAGGACGUGCUAAUCUGCGAAAAGCGUCGGUAAGGUGAUAUGAACCGUUACAGCCGGCGAUGUCCGAAUGGGGAAACCCAGUGCAAUUCGUUGCACUAUCGUUAACUGAAUACAUAGGUUAACGAGGCGAACCGGGGGAACUGAAACAUCUAAGUACCCCGAGGAAAAGAAAUCAACCGAGAUUCCCCCAGUAGCGGCGAGCGAACGGGGAGCAGCCCAGAGUCUGAAUCAGCUUGUGUGUUAGUGGAACGGUCUGGAAAGUCCGACGGUACAGGGUGAUAGUCCCGUACACCAAAAUGCACAGGCUGUGAACUCGAAGAGUAGGGCGGGACACGUGGUAUCCUGUCUGAAUAUGGGGGGACCAUCCUCCAAGGCUAAAUACUCCUGACUGACCGAUAGUGAACCAGUACCGUGAGGGAAAGGCGAAAAGAACCCCGGCGAGGGGAGUGAAAAAGAACCUGAAACCGUGUACGUACAAGCAGUGGGAGCACCUUCGGGUGUGACUGCGUACCUUUUGUAUAAUGGGUCAGCGACUUAUAUUCUGUAGCAAGGUUAACCGUAUAGGGGAGCCGCAGGGAAACCGAGUCUUAACUGGGCGUUAAGUUGCAGGGUAUAGACCCGAAACCCGGUGAUCUAGCCAUGGGCAGGUUGAAGGUUGGGUAACACUAACUGGAGGACCGAACCGACUAAUGUUGAAAAAUUAGCGGAUGACUUGUGGCUGGGGGUGAAAGGCCAAUCAAACCGGGAGAUAGCUGGUUCUCCCCGAAAGCUAUUUAGGUAGCGCCUCGUGAACUCAUCUUCGGGGGUAGAGCACUGUUUCGGCUAGGGGGUCAUCCCGACUUACCAACCCGAUGCAAACUACGAAUACCGAAGAAUGUUAUCACGGGAGACACACGGCGGGUGCUAACGUCCGUCGUGAAGAGGGAAACAACCCAGACCGCCAGCUAAGGUCCCAAAGUCAUGGUUAAGUGGGAAACGAUGUGGGAAGGCACAGACAGCCAGGAUGUUGGCUUAGAAGCAGCCAUCAUUUAAAGAAAGCGUAAUAGCUCACUGGUCGAGUCGGCCUGCGCGGAAGAUGUAACGGGGCUAAACCAUGCACCGAAGCUGCGGCAGCGACACGAUGUGUUGUUGGGUAGGGGAGCGUUCUGUAAGCCUGCGAAGGUGACCUGUGAGGGUUGCUGGAGGUAUCAGAAGUGCGAAUGCUGACAUAAGUAACGAUAAAGCGGGUGAAAAGCCCGCUCGCCGGAAGACCAAGGGUUCCUGUCCAACGUUAAUCGGGGCAGGGUGAGUCGACCCCUAAGGCGAGGCCGAAAGGCGUAGUCGAUGGGAAACAGGUUAAUAUUCCUGUACUUGGUGUUACUGCGAAGGGGGGACGGAGAAGGCUAUGUUAGCCGGGCGACGGUUGUCCCGGUUUAAGCAUGUAGGCUGGUUAUCCAGGCAAAUCCGGAUAAUCAAGGCUGAGGUGUGAUGACGAGGCACUACGGUGCUGAAGUAACAAAUGCCCUGCUUCCAGGAAAAGCCUCUAAGCAUCAGGUAACACGAAAUCGUACCCCAAACCGACACAGGUGGUCAGGUAGAGAAUACCAAGGCGCUUGAGAGAACUCGGGUGAAGGAACUAGGCAAAAUGGUGCCGUAACUUCGGGAGAAGGCACGCUGGUGUGUAGGUGAAGUCCCUGCGGAUGGAGCUGAGACCAGUCGAAGAUACCAGCUGGCUGCAACUGUUUAUUAAAAACACAGCACUGUGCAAACACGAAAGUGGACGUAUACGGUGUGACGCCUGCCCGGUGCCGGAAGGUUAAUUGAUGGGGUUAUCCGUAAGGAGAAGCUCUUGAUCGAAGCCCCGGUAAACGGCGGCCGUAACUAUAACGGUCCUAAGGUAGCGAAAUUCCUUGUCGGGUAAGUUCCGACCUGCACGAAUGGCGUAAUGAUGGCCAGGCUGUCUCCACCCGAGACUCAGUGAAAUUGAACUCGCUGUGAAGAUGCAGUGUACCCGCGGCAAGACGGAAAGACCCCGUGAACCUUUACUAUAGCUUGACACUGAACAUUGAGCCUUGAUGUGUAGGAUAGGUGGGAGGCUUUGAAGCGUGGACGCCAGUCUGCGUGGAGCCAACCUUGAAAUACCACCCUUUAAUGUUUGAUGUUCUAACGUUGGCCCCUUAUCGGGGUUGCGGACAGUGUCUGGUGGGUAGUUUGACUGGGGCGGUCUCCUCCCAAAGCGUAACGGAGGAGCACGAAGGUUAGCUAAUCCUGGUCGGACAUCAGGAGGUUAGUGCAAUGGCAUAAGCUAGCUUGACUGCGAGCGUGACGGCGCGAGCAGGUGCGAAAGCAGGUCAUAGUGAUCCGGUGGUUCUGAAUGGAAGGGCCAUCGCUCAACGGAUAAAAGGUACUCCGGGGAUAACAGGCUGAUACCGCCCAAGAGUUCAUAUCGACGGCGGUGUUUGGCACCUCGAUGUCGGCUCAUCACAUCCUGGGGCUGAAGUAGGUCCCAAGGGUAUGGCUGUUCGCCAUUUAAAGUGGUACGCGAGCUGGGUUUAGAACGUCGUGAGACAGUUCGGUCCCUAUCUGCCGUGGGCGCUGGAGAAUUGAGGGGGGCUGCUCCUAGUACGAGAGGACCGGAGUGGACGCAUCACUGGUGUUCGGGUUGUCAUGCCAAUGGCACUGCCCGGUAGCUAAAUGCGGAAGAGAUAAGUGCUGAAAGCAUCUAAGCACGAAACUUGCCCCGAGAUGAGUUCUCCCUGAGACUUUAAGUCUCCUGAAGGAACGUUGAAGACGACGACGUUGAUAGGCCGGGUGUGUAAGCGCAGCGAUGCGUUGAGCUAACCGGUACUAAUGAACCGUGAGGCUUAACCUUACAACGCCGAAG
Molecule: ribosomal RNA, 2923 nt
Filed under: Klebsiella quasipneumoniae
Lineage: Bacteria; Pseudomonadati; Pseudomonadota; Gammaproteobacteria; Enterobacterales; Enterobacteriaceae
Description: bacterial LSU rRNA
Rfam family: Bacterial large subunit ribosomal RNA
Source: RNAcentral